RNAcentral lists this ribosomal RNA (253 nucleotides) under uncultured bacterium. RNAcentral describes it as "partial 16S ribosomal RNA". It matches the Rfam family "Bacterial small subunit ribosomal RNA", at positions 524 to 776 of the family's 1533-position model. The record is from RNAcentral.
UACGUAGGGAGCUAGCGUUGUCCGGAAUCAUUGGGCGUAAAGCGCGCGUAGGCGGCCCGGUAAGUCCGCUGUGAAAGUCAAAGGCUCAACCUUUGAAUGUCAGUGGAUACUGCCGGGCUAGAGUCCGGAAGAGGCGAGUGGAACUCCUGGUGUAGCGGUGGAAUGCGCAGAUAUCAGGAAGAACACCGACGGCGAAGGCAGCUCGCUGGGACGGUACUGACGCUGAGACGCGAAAGCGUGGGGAGCGAACAGG